This 163-nucleotide ribosomal RNA is filed under the name uncultured bacterium. RNAcentral's name for it is "partial 16S rRNA". It matches the Rfam family "Bacterial small subunit ribosomal RNA", at positions 355 to 511 of the family's 1533-position model. The record is from RNAcentral.
UAGGGAAUCUUCCACAAUGGACGCAAGUCUGAUGGAGCAACGCCGCGUGAGUGAAGAAGGUUUCGGCUCGUAAAGCUCUGUUGUUAAAGAAGAACGUGGGUAAGAGUAACUGUUUACCCAGUGACGGUAUUUAACCCGAAAGCCACGGCUAACUACGUGCCAG